UCCAUUGUGACUGGGCAGUGGAGAAUCCAAGCAGCUGUGAGACAGAGCUGUCAAGCAAAGAAAGAACAUAGACAUCUGAAGAGGAGAAGCAGGGUCAGUGGAUGAGCAGAGAGUGAUGCAAUUGCACCUCAUGACCCCCGCUCCCCAUUGUGUGAAAACACAGACCUUAGUGGCUGCCAGACGAAAUUAAAAAUGGGCCCAUGAAACCGGGGAGAUUGAGAACGACAUAAAGAAUGCUUCAGAGGCCCCAGAUUUUAAGUGCCUUUCCACUUAAUUGUCUUCGGUUGCCAGCUAUGGAAGGAAUGGAGAGGGAGAGGGAGAGGGAGA
Mastomys coucha (southern multimammate mouse) is the source of this 327-nucleotide long non-coding RNA. RefSeq lists it as uncharacterized. The transcript is spliced from 2 exons. NCBI's taxonomy places the organism in Eukaryota, Metazoa, Chordata, Mammalia, Rodentia, Muridae. The record is from RefSeq and is a predicted model, not a curated record.